Ictalurus punctatus (channel catfish) is the source of this 1930-nucleotide long non-coding RNA. The record is from Ensembl. Lineage: Eukaryota; Metazoa; Chordata; Actinopteri; Siluriformes; Ictaluridae.
GCUUAUAUGGACUUCCAUUGGCUUCUCUAGGCUUCUACGGACUUCUCUAGACUUCAGUAGGUUUAUUUGGGCGUCUCUGGGCUUCUAAAGACUUCUCUAGGUGACUAUGGACUUCUAUAGGCUUCUCUAGGCUUCUAUAGACUUCUAUAGGCUUCUCUAGGCUUCUAUGGACUUCUCUAGGCUUCUAUGGACUUCUAUAGGCUUCUCUAGGCUUCUACGGACUUCGCUAGGCUUCUAUGGACUUCUAUAGGAUUCUCUGGGCUUCUAUGGACUUCUAUAGGCUUCUCUAGGCUUCUCUAGGCUUCUAUGGACUUCUAUAGGCUUCUAUGGACUUCUCUAGGCUUCUAUGGACUUCUGUAGGAUUCUCUGGGCUUCUAUGGACUUCUGUAGGUUUCUAUGGACUUCUAUAGGAUUCUCUGGGCUUCUAUUGGCUUCUAUAGGCUUCACUAGUCUUCUAUUGGCUUCUGUAGGUUUCUCCAAGCUUCUAUAAGCUUUUAAAGGCUUCAACAUGCAUCUCUAGGCAUUUAUGGGCUUCUAUAAGCUGCUAUAUGCUUCGCUAGCCUUUUUGUUUUUGGCAGCAAAGAUUAAUGCUCGUCAGACGAGCAGCAUUUAAUACGUCAUUUUGUGUCCCGCUCCGAUGCAUGGCUUCACUGAGAGUCACUUCAUCGUGGGUUUUGCCUAGAGAAAACUAUCUCAACGUUUAUAAUACAGUGCGCUCUUCGCUCGUCCCGCGGGGCCAGACGCACAAAUUCCCCAGACGAUGACCGGGAGAUCCCUCAGUGGCGAUACCUUAAAAUCUGCUGCCGAUCACUGAAACGAACAUGCCUGACAUCUCACACUUAAAACAUAUCAGCACCACUCAGACUCUCAGACCGCAUCGCUGAAUGUCAGAAACAGAAUGCUAUGUUUGAUUAUUUGUGUUUAUUUCUAGAUCUGGCUAGCUGUCAUUCAUUUCUACAGUGAAAUUCGACUAGCUACUAAACAGACUAGCUACUUCUGAUGCUCUUAUGAGAACAGAUAAAAACAGAACGCACAGAUAUACAGCACGGAUGCUCGGUUUUAACUUGAAGAGACGGUCAGAAAGAAAGCAGACGCACUACAGAACACAUUGCUGUUUUUAUUAGAGCCUAAACCGGCAAUAAUACUGAAAAACGUCAACUCAGAACAGAUGGUGGCAACCCACGGCUUUUUUUUUUUUUUUUUUUUUUUUUUUUGGUAAGAGUACAUUAACUCUCGUUUUUUUUUUUUUUUUUUAAAUGUGGCAUGAAUAACAUCAAUAAAAGGGGGAAAAAAGAAAUAUACAACUUAUAUUACACUGUGUUAUGAACAAAAUAUAAAUCUAUACCUCUAUGUUAUAUUUACAUAAUUAUCUUUUAGCGAUUUUUUUCAAGUUGAGAUGGUAGGAUUUGUUUUUUUUUUUUUUUUUAAAGAAUGCAUGUAUGUGUGUGUGUGUGUUUUAGUUUGAAUUUUUUUUUCACUUUUGUUUUGAGCUCCACCCAUGACCUUGAUUGUCUUAUCUAUUAUUAUUCAUAGCAAAAAAAUGUCAUGCUUUAUAUAAUAAAUGAUUGACAGCUUUAGACCCUGUCCUUCAGAAUAUGUAUGAUUGUUAAAGGGUCCUGAUUGUGAUUGAAAAAAAUAAAAUAAUAAAAAAAUAAUAAUAAUAAUAAAAAAUUACACAUCAGGAUGGAAACUAAUGUUAAUGUUGUGAUUUUAUGAUUUUAAAAGGUGUCGGGCAUGGCGUGGAGCUAAAACAAAUCCAUCAUGGAGUCCCGUAGAGGUCACGUAUCUGAUAUGAGUCACUCGGUGGAGCAUCGCAUGAGCCUCUUCGAAUUUUUGAUAGAUAUUUCUUUUGUUAGAAUUAUCUUUAACACGUCCAAACUGGAGGAGACUUCAAAUUUGUAAAUAUGUAUAUAUAUAUAUAUAUAUAUAU